ACGUACGAGGCGAGCGUUAUCCGGAAUUACUGGGCGUAAAGCGCGCGCAGGCGGACGUUUAAGUUGGGCGUGAAAUCUCCCGGCCUAACUGGGAGGGGUCGCCCAAGACUGGGCGUCUUGAGGACAGCAGAGGUAGGUGGAAUUCCUGGUGUAGUGGUGAAAUGCGUAGAGAUCAGGAGGAACACCGGUGGCGAAGGCGGCCUACUGGGCUGUCACUGACGCUGAGGCGCGAAAGCUCGGGGAGCGAACGGGA
RNAcentral lists this ribosomal RNA (253 nucleotides) under uncultured prokaryote. Its description in RNAcentral is "partial 16S ribosomal RNA". It matches the Rfam family "Bacterial small subunit ribosomal RNA", at positions 525 to 777 of the family's 1533-position model. The record is from RNAcentral.